This 735-nucleotide ribosomal RNA is filed under the name uncultured bacterium. RNAcentral's name for it is "bacterial SSU rRNA". It matches the Rfam family "Bacterial small subunit ribosomal RNA", at positions 28 to 776 of the family's 1533-position model. The record is from RNAcentral.
GACGAACGCUGGCGGCGCGCCUAACACAUGCAAGUCGAACGAGCGAGAGAGAGCUUGCUUUCUCAAGCGAGUGGCGAACGGGUGAGUAACGCGUGAGGAACCUGCCUCAAAGAGGGGGACAACAGUUGGAAACGACUGCUAAUACCGCAUAAGCCCACAGCUCGGCAUCGAGCAGAGGGAAAAGGAGCAAUUCGCUUUGAGAUGGCCUCGCGUCCGAUUAGCUGGUUGGUGAGGUAACGGCCCACCAAGGCGACGAUCGGUAGCCGGACUGAGAGGUUGAACGGCCACAUUGGGACUGAGACACGGCCCAGACUCCUACGGGAGGCAGCAGUGGGGAAUAUUGCGCAAUGGGGGAAACCCUGAUGCAGCGACGCCGCGUGGAGGAAGAAGGUCUUCGGAUUGUAAACUCCUGUUGUUGAGGAAGAUAAUGACGGUACUCAACAAGGAAGUGACGGCUAACUACGUGCCAGCAGCCGCGGUAAAACGUAGGUCACAAGCGUUGUCCGGAAUUACUGGGUGUAAAGGGAGCGCAGGCGGGAAAGCAAGUUGGAAGUGAAAUCCAUGGGCUCAACCCAUGAACUGCUUUCAAAACUGUUUUUCUUGAGUAGUGCAGAGGUAGGCGGAAUUCCCGGUGUAGCGGUGGAAUGCGUAGAUAUCGGGAGGAACACCAGUGGCGAAGGCGGCCUACUGGGCACCAACUGACGCUGAGGCUCGAAAGUGUGGGUAGCAAACAGG